Molecule: long non-coding RNA, 966 nt
Filed under: Actinidia chinensis (golden kiwifruit)
Lineage: Eukaryota; Viridiplantae; Streptophyta; Magnoliopsida; Ericales; Actinidiaceae
Description: long non-coding RNA (ACHI_LNC007557)
Source: RNAcentral
CACAACCCUCACACGCCAUAUCUCUCUCUCCACUCUCUCACACGCCAUCUAUCUCUCAAGAAUGAGGCUCCUCUCUGCACCAUCACAGCCCAAAUCAACCCUUCUCUCAGAUCUAGAUAUUUUCUUAAUUUUACCAUUGAUGUGAUAAGAUUUAGUUUUUUUUUUCUUCUGAUUUUGGAUUCUUGAUGAUUUGCAGAGGAAGAUGUGCCUAUGGAGUUUUGAGACCGAGGACUGAAGAAGGAUCGAGAUCGGAGUUGGAGAAAAAGGAGAAGAGGAGAGAGGAAGGAGGCGAGGAAAGCUCCGAAGAGAGCGUGAACGAUGAGAGAGACUAUCAACGUUUUCGGCGGCGGUGCGGCAAUUUUGAGGCCAUGGAAACCAGCCAAGGAAUUGAUCGGAUGUCCUGUUCCGAGAGAAGCUCAGUCAGGUACAGUGGUGGAAUCGAAGAAUCCAUUGUUCUUGAGUCAUCUUUGGUGUUUCUGAAUUGGGUUUAGCUUAGUUCAUUUUUAAUCUCUUUUAUGGAUUUUGGGUUCUUGGUUUUGUAAUUUUUACGAAAAGUAAUUUUUUUUCUAGGAAGAAUUACAGAGGUUUUGGGUGUUUGAUUUUUGGGAAAAUCGUAAAUCAUUGAAGAGUAAACACUAAGAAAAAUUUAUGGGUUGUGUCUUGAACUGUGUUGUAUUAAUUGUUGGGUACUUGGUUGUUUGGGUUUCGGGAAAACGAUGAAUCUUUGAAGAGAAAACACCAAGAAAAUUUUAUGGGUUUUGAGUAUGGAAGGAAGGGAAGGUAUUAGCAGGAGUGGGGUUACAGUGGUGGGAUCGGAUGCUCCGUUAGAUUAGCAUCUGGGUUUAUGGUUUAAAUUUAUGCCCAUUUUGAAAUUUGUGGGUUAAUCUCUGUUUUAUUUCUGUUUUUUGCUGCUUCAACUCACUAAGCAAUGCUUGAUUAAUCUCUAUUUUGGUUGCACUUUAAUAG